RNAcentral lists this ribosomal RNA (407 nucleotides) under uncultured bacterium. RNAcentral's name for it is "bacterial SSU rRNA". It matches the Rfam family "Bacterial small subunit ribosomal RNA", at positions 355 to 776 of the family's 1533-position model. The record is from RNAcentral.
UGGGGAAUAUUGGGCAAUGGGCGCAAGCCUGACCCAGCAACGCCGCGUGAAGGAAGAAGGCCCUCGGGUUGUAAACUUCUUUUAACAGGGACGAAACAAAUGACGGUACCUGUUGAAUAAGCCACGGCUAACUACGUUCACGCAGGCGCGGUAAUACGUAGGUGGCAAGCGUUAUCCGGAUUUACUGGGUGUAAAGGGCGUGUAGGCGGGACUGCAAGUCAGAUGUGAAAACCAUGGGCUCAACCCAUGGCCUGCAUUUGAAACUGUAGUUCUUGAGUGUUGGAGAGGCAGGCGGAAUUCCGUGUGUAGCGGUGAAAUGCGUAGAUAUACGGAGGAACACCAGUGGCGAAGGCGGCCUGCUGGACAAUAACUGACGCUGAGGCGCGAAAGCGUGGGGAGCAAACAGG